GGCCCUAUCGUCUAGCGGUCAGGACACCGGCCUUUCACGCCGGUAACCGGAGUUCAAUUCUCCGUAGGGUCACAA
RNAcentral lists this transfer RNA (75 nucleotides) under Pseudomonadales bacterium. RNAcentral describes it as "tRNA-Glu". It matches the Rfam family "tRNA". Rfam says of the family: Transfer RNA (tRNA) molecules are approximately 80 nucleotides in length. Their secondary structure includes four short double-helical elements and three loops (D, anti-codon, and T loops). Further hydrogen bonds mediate the characteristic L-shaped molecular structure. tRNAs have two regions of fundamental functional importance: the anti-codon, which is responsible for specific mRNA codon recognition, and the 3' end, to which the tRNAs corresponding amino acid is attached (by aminoacyl-tRNA synthetases). tRNAs cope with the degeneracy of the genetic code in two manners: having more than one tRNA (with a specific anti-codon) for a particular amino acid; and 'wobble' base-pairing, i.e. permitting non-standard base-pairing at the 3rd anti-codon position. Lineage: Bacteria; Pseudomonadati; Pseudomonadota; Gammaproteobacteria; Pseudomonadales. The record is from RNAcentral.